AAGUCGAAGGAUCUGGAAAGGUCCGCCAUAGCGGGUGAUAGCCCCGUAGACGUCAAACAGCGAAGGACUCGAGUAGGGCGGGACACGUGAAAUCCUGUCUGAACAUGGGGGGACCACCCUCCAAGCCUAAGUACUCCUCAGCGACCGAUAGCGAACAAGUACCGUGAGGGAAAGGUGAAAAGCACCCCGACGAGGGGAGUGAAAUAGACCUGAAACCGGAUGCCUACAAACAGACGGAGCCCAAGAUACGUUCUGGGUGACGUCGUACCUUUUGUAUAAUGGG
RNAcentral lists this ribosomal RNA (283 nucleotides) under uncultured Dinobryon. Its description in RNAcentral is "partial Bacterial large subunit ribosomal RNA". It matches the Rfam family "Bacterial large subunit ribosomal RNA", at positions 330 to 619 of the family's 2925-position model. The record is from RNAcentral. Lineage: Eukaryota; Chrysophyceae; Chromulinales.